AUUGAACGCUAGCGGGAUGCUUUACACAUGCAAGUCGAACGGCAGCGCGGACUUCGGUCUGGCGGCGAGUGGCGAACGGGUGAGUAAUGUAUCGGAACGUGCCCAGUAGCGGGGGAUAACUACGCGAAAGCGUAGCUAAUACCGCAUACGCCCUACGGGGGAAAGCAGGGGAUCGUAAGACCUUGCACUAUUGGAGCGGCCGAUAUCGGAUUAGCUAGUUGGUGAGGUAACGGCUCACCAAGGCGACGAUCCGUAGCUGGUUUGAGAGGACGACCAGCCACACUGGGACUGAGACACGGCCCAGACUCCUACGGGAGGCAGCAGUGGGGAAUUUUGGACAAUGGGGGCAACCCUGAUCCAGCCAUCCCGCGUGUGCGAUGAAGGCCUUCGGGUUGUAAAGCACUUUUGGCAGGAAAGAAACGUCGCGGGCUAAUACCCCGUGGAACUGACGGUACCUGCAGAAUAAGCAUCGGCUAACUACGUG
This 484-nucleotide ribosomal RNA is filed under the name uncultured bacterium. RNAcentral's name for it is "partial 16S ribosomal RNA". It matches the Rfam family "Bacterial small subunit ribosomal RNA", at positions 30 to 507 of the family's 1533-position model. The record is from RNAcentral.